CGGACGGGUGAGUAAUGCUUGGGAGUCUAGCUUAUGGAGGGGGAUAACUACGGGAAACUGUAGCUAAUACCGCGUAAUAUCGAAAGAUUAAAGUGUGGGACCUUCGGGCCACAUGCCAUAGGAUGAGCCCAAGUGGGAUUAGGUAGUUGGUGAGGUAAAGGCUCACCAAGCCGACGAUCUCUAGCUGGUCUGAGAGGAUGACCAGCCACACUGGGACUGAGACACGGCCCAG
RNAcentral lists this ribosomal RNA (232 nucleotides) under uncultured bacterium. RNAcentral describes it as "partial 16S ribosomal RNA". It matches the Rfam family "Bacterial small subunit ribosomal RNA", at positions 99 to 334 of the family's 1533-position model. The record is from RNAcentral.